UGCACCUACCGAUGAAACUCCUCCUCUUAAUGACCUUGUUGUACAAGGUCAUCUUCCGGAGUGCCUUAAUGGUGAAUUUGUUAGAGUUGGUCCAAAUCCAAAGUUUGCUCCGGUUGCUGGAUAUCACUGGUUUGAUGGGGAUGGCAUGAUUCAUGGCUUGCGCAUUAAAGAUGGAAAAGCAACGUAUGUCUCACGUUAUGUGAGGACUUCACGUCUAAAGCAAGAAGAGUUCUUUGGUGGAGCUAAGUUUAUGAAGGUUGGAGAUCUUAAAGGGCUGUUUGGUCUGUUCACAGUUUAUAUGCAAAUGCUCAGAACAAAGCUGAAAGUAUUGGACAUCUCCUAUGGAAAUAGCACAGCUAAUACAGCUCUAGUAUAUCACCAUGGGAAGCUGUUGGCACUUUCAGAGGCUGAUAAACCUUAUGCACUUAAAGUUCUAGAGGAUGGAGAUCUUCAAACACUUGGCAUGCUGGAUUAUGACAAACGAUUGACGCAUUCCUUCACUGCCCAUCCAAAAG
Molecule: unclassified non-coding RNA, 515 nt
Filed under: Hevea brasiliensis (rubber tree)
Lineage: Eukaryota; Viridiplantae; Streptophyta; Magnoliopsida; Malpighiales; Euphorbiaceae
Source: RNAcentral